This is a long non-coding RNA of Cryptotermes secundus, 1435 nucleotides long. RefSeq lists it as uncharacterized. The record is from RefSeq and is a predicted model, not a curated record. NCBI's taxonomy places the organism in Eukaryota, Metazoa, Arthropoda, Insecta, Blattodea, Kalotermitidae. The transcript is spliced from 3 exons.
UUCAUCAUCAGAGACUUCAGACUUCCUUCCUGGCUGACGCACAUCAACAGGAACUGUUGGUGGGCCUCCUGGUACUUUAUUCACUUGAGCAUUCAGUCCAAAUUCUACAGCAUCCUCCUGCUUCCAAGCUUCAUGAAAAUCUGUUCACUGGUUCAAACAGUAUCAGGUCGAAACACAAAUGCCAACAUCUGAUGUUUCGCUCGGAUGAAAUCUGCUUUGGUUGGACUAAAGUGUAAAAAGUUUACAUAAAAUCAGUAUCUUCAGUCACAGAAAGAAACAUUGGCUUGAGACAUGCUUGUACAUUCUGUCACAUAAAGAUGAACUGCAAGCCUCGCAGUCCAGUCUUUCUGAAUUGCACAACUGCUGUAAAAUUAUUAUCAAUCAAAAAGACAUUAUAUCUCUUUUUGUUACAGUCAAUUUGGGUGUAAUUUCAUUUUAUGAUAAAGUUUUGUUCAAAUGUAGGAUAUUUCUCUUCAGGAAAGCGUCUCUGAGGGAUGCCAUCAGGAGUCGGAUGUUCAUGUGAUUACUGAAUUAUUACAAAGCCCUAUGGUUAUCACUGGAGACAGAAUGGAGCUGAUUCCAGUAUGAGGCCUAUUAAUAAAUUUGGUAACAGAUGACAAAUUUGAUUCAUUUUGCAACAAGAUUGCUUAUGUUUUGAAGGAAACAGAAACAAUUUCUGACUUCACACUCCUCAAGCAAGACUACUUGUAUAUGCACUCCUACUAUGGGUGCUAUAAGAAGCUGUGCAGUACAUUAUAAUAAUUAUUAUUAUUUUAGUGAGUGCUAAUUUUGUGCAGCCUAAUGAGGAAUUUCACAGUUUGCACAACUCACUAAAUACAGUGAAAACCUUUUUCGCUUUAUGGUUUCUAUAGGAAGCACUGGACAUAAGCAUCAGAUGUGUGGGUAGCGAUGAAGAAGUGCAGAAGACAGUUAAGGACUGGUUCAAUGGACUGGCAGCAGAUUUCUAUGAUGCAGGCAUAUAGAAACUCAUCACAAGAUAAGCCAAAUGCUUGAAUCAUCAUGGGAAUUAUGUAGAAAAGUUAUUUAAGGUCUGUAGUAAUAAUGUAAAGCAACAUUUUAAUUUUAUUCAUUUAUUUUUAAUCACCAAACAUUCUUUACUUUCUGGAUGACCUACGUAAGAAGAAUAAACGAAUAUUAAUAAUAACAAACACGAAAACUUUGUCAUGUUUCUUUAUUUAGGUUUGACUCUUACUCCAUACAUGGUUUUUCAUCAAUAUCUUUUAUACCUUUCUAACUUAAACUAUUGCAAUUAUUUUUGCUGGAAGCACUUCUGUUACAGUUUGUUUGGUUAUUCCUACACAUGCCAAAUUUAUAGGUACAUUCAGUUUCACUACAUGUGUAGCUAUACACGUAUAUAAUUUUAUAUCAACUAAUCCCAUGGCACUGAUCACAGUGGCAGUCUAAGGCAUGAAAU